ACAGGAGCUGAAUGUGACCUACAGCUGGGCCACAUGUGGCAUCACCCCCGACACAAGGAGUGAGAGCCCCAGAGACCUCAUCUGACAUGUGGCAGGCUGUGAUGGCUGCCGAUAUAAAUGAGGCUGUGUGUGUCCAGGUCCUAUUAAUUCAUGUUAAAAAAUUAAGGAGGGCUGGGCAUGAUGGCUCACGCCUAUAAUUCCAGCACUUUGGGAGGCCGAGGCAGGAGGAUAACUUGAGCCCAGGAGUUUGAGACCAGCCCUGGCAACAUAGCAAGAUCCCUGCCUCUAAAAAAAUUAAAAAAAAAAAAAAAUAGCGCUUGGUGGCAUGCACUUAUAGUCCCAGCUGCUUGGGAGGCUGAGGUGGGAGGAUCACUUGAACCUAGGAGGUUGAGGCUGCAGUGAGCUCACUGCACUCCAGCCUGGGCUACAGAGCAAGACUCUGUCUCAGAAACAAAACAAAAUGAAAAAAUUAAGGAGGCAGCUGGCCAUGUAGUUGUGUAGACAACACAUUCUUCAUGUCUCAGGAACCGGGCAGCAGAAUUUUUGCUGUUGCAGGAAUCUUCCCACCUGUUCUUCUGUGGUCAUUUCUGCUCCAUUCUCCAUUGCCCUCUGGCACACUGAGAAACCCUUUGACAUGGAGACAUUCAGAGGCAAAGUUUGGAAAAUAGGACUCUAGGACCUCCAUACAAGGGUGAGAGAAUUUAAUUCAGGUUAGAAAUGUCGGGAUUUGAGGUCCACUGGAUUUCUAUAGCUGCCCAUAUGUCCCCCAACCUCUCUGAGUCUAUGCAUUUCCAUCUAUAAGCAGGUGGGGUGACGAUGGCCAGAUAAUCUCCAAGAGCCCCUCUCUGAUGUUCUACACCAUCUUGGAAACUUUUCUUUUUCUUUUGAGACAGGGUCUUGCUGUGUUUCCCAGUUUUGCCUUGAACUCCUGGGCUCAAGCCAUACUCUUACCUUGGCCUCCCGAAGUGCUGGGAUUACAGGCAUGAGCCACCAUCUUGGAAUCUAAGAGGAUGGGAGCUGCUAACCCAGGAAUGGCAGGGAACUCAUCCUCAUCCAGACUGAGACAUCAGACCCUCCAAACUUCAAGUUUCCACAGCACUGAAGCUCUGAUUAGGAAAAGCCAUGGCUUUCUGGCCAGGAUAACCAUGUCGUGUCACCUGGGUAGCUUAUUCAAUUGUGAGUGUUUAAAGAGCAGUACAGGCAUGACUCAUCUUCGUCUCCCUCACAGCACCAGUUGUGUGGUGAGCCUGUAGGAGAAUUCGUGCUGUCUCCUUUGUAGUGAAAACAAAACCAAAGACAAUCUAUAAGAUACCAGCAAGGGAGGAGUUAAUGUAAAUCAUGAUCCAGCUGUAAGCAUUAGCCAUUCCAUUCAUGGUGGAGAUCUAUCCUUAAUAACACAGAGAGAUGUCUACCACAUAUUUCCAAAGGGAUACAUUAAUUUCAGGACCACACGAAUGGUCCUGUGAGGCCAUGUGUACCUACAAACAAUCCACAAAUAAGUAAGGCCAUAGUUGGUGACACAUGUUAUGCAAGGGUAGGUUCACAAACCCAACCUCACUUAUUCUUGAGCAACACUAAGGUAUUUAUGGCAGAGAAUGGUUACCAUCCUCGCCCCCUUUUUUUUUUUUUGAGACAGGGUCUUGGUCUGUUGCCCAGGCUGGAGUGCAAUGGUGUGAUCUUGGUUCACCGCAAUCUCCACCUCCCAGAUUCUGGUGAUCCUCCUAUUCAGUCUCUUAAGUAGCUGAGACCACAGGCAUGUGCCACCACACGUGGCUAAUUUUUGUAUUUUUUAUAGAGACAGGGUUUCGCUAUGUUGCCCAGGCUGAUCUCCAACUCCUGAGAUGAAGCAAUCCUCCCACCUUGGCUUCCCAAAGACCAUCCCCCUUCUAAAGCUCGUCUAGAACUUAUCCCUGGCAAGUGAAAUGAUUGUAGCCUACUUCCAGAAGACGUGUUUAAGAAGUGGUGUGCCUUCUCUCCUGUCCUUCAUCUCCGCUGCCAGUUGGAGUAACUUCAAGGUCCCAGGGAUGGCAGAACAACAACAUGGAAGAGACCUGGGUCUCUAGAUCACAGAAUGAAGAAAAGCCACCUAAUGACCAGGAAAACCCUUCUCAAACCUUUUUUUUUUUUUUUUUUUGAGACAAAGUCUUGCUCAGUCACCAGGCUGG
RNAcentral lists this long non-coding RNA (2165 nucleotides) under Homo sapiens (human). RNAcentral's name for it is "non-protein coding lnc-FAM84B-6:6". Lineage: Eukaryota; Metazoa; Chordata; Mammalia; Primates; Hominidae. The record is from RNAcentral.